Molecule: long non-coding RNA, 12488 nt
Organism: Passer domesticus (house sparrow)
Lineage: Eukaryota; Metazoa; Chordata; Aves; Passeriformes; Passeridae
Exons: 9
Source: RefSeq, a predicted model, not a curated record
GCUUCCUGAGGGAACCAUGCAGAUCCUCCCAGAGCUCUUCCAGUGUCUGUGGGUGUUAGAAGAGCACCGGGGCAGCGGAGGACAGGAGAGCUUUAGAUCCAAAUAACCGCUGGACAUGAGUGAUACUUUGGGGAAAACCUGUACAGAAUGCAUUAAUGCCCCUUGUGGAGAAGGUGUAAAAUUUUCGCCUUAAUUUGCACGGGGUUUAAAUGGCCUCGUCUGUUGUUUUCCCCUUGCAGACACCCCUUAGGCCCCUCAGGCUGAGGCAGGCAGUGGUUCUUCCCAGGCAACAGCAACAGCAGUCUUUCAGCAGGAGGUGGGUGAUGUUCAUGGCAGCCUGUCACAGGCAGGUUUGAGCUGAGGCCUCCUGAGGUGGAAACCUUUGAAAAAGGCUGUGAGAGCUAAUAAAGUGGAGCUGUUUGAUCUCUAAUGUGAUGAGUGGCUGCUGUGGGCUGUUGUCCCUGUGGAGAAUCUGCAUGAGAAGUCAGUCACACCACUGACUGCUGGUUAAGUAAUUCAUGGGUUCCUCCUACAAAUCUGAUCACAAAGUUGUAUCCUGUUCUUGUACAAAAAUUAUCUCCUAGGAGGAAGUGUAGUAAAAUUGAAGUGUCUUGGAAGUAAAUCUACGGGAUGUGUUUCUAAUACACCUUGAACUUACGGGUAAAUAAUUCUGAUCCUCUGUUUAUUAAUAACGGUUGAGAUAGGAGAUGUAGCAUACUUUAUAGCAAAAGUUUAUCACAGAAGUUUUUCAGAAUACAAAAACCAUUAAAUGUUCCUUAAAAUGUUAGGGCAAAAGUAUUUUUUAAUCAGAUUUAGUGGCUUGAGUUACAGCUGUAGGUGAUGGGAGUUGGUCUCUUGACAUCUGACCUUAUGGGCCCUUGAUGUGUGGCUUAACAUGGUGGUCACUGGAGGGGAUCAGGUGCAGGUUGUUUUGUGGCAGUGAGCAGGCUGGUUCAGUUAUGGAAUUGCAGAGGUCCAUCUUAAUCAACAGCUUGUGUGGCAAAAGUGAUGAUUUUAGGAAAGUGCUGCAGUGUUUAAGAUGGAAUCGCAGCCACACUGGGCUCUGAGGCUCCAGAAGGUGCAGAAGAGAUGAGACUGCAGGCUGCCAGCUCUGAGCAGAAGCCCUCCUCGUGCUGAGCACAGUUAGCGUGUGCCAUGAAAACAUCCAAGCUGUGUGUUUAAACUCCCUGCUGUGAGCGUCUGUUCAUGCACAGAGCUGGCAGCCUGGUGGGGAAAGGGGCCUUGGAGCCACAGUCGUGAAGGUCAUUUGGGAGGGGACACUGGAAUGAGUCCUGAUGCAGUUUUCUGAUGUGGCUGGUCAGUUUAUGCCACAUAGGGAAAAGAAACUGCUGUGCAGAUUUUAUUCAGUUGCUGUGCCUGAGAAAGGCUGGUAAAGGACUCGCUGAGAUGGCAGUGCUAUGUCACUGUCAGCUGUCAUGGUGUAAGCAAAAGGGGUUUAUCACUUCUUUUAAGAACACCACAGCAAACCACUGUGGUUUUGGCACAGGUCUUGGCUGCCCGGAAAACGGGAGUGAUCUAAUGCCUUCUGUGUCUGGAGGCUUGGCUAGCUUAGAGAGUGGUACGAUGGUAAUUAAUACUCGUGCACCAGAGAGAAUGGGUGGGAAAGAGGAGGAGGAUGAAGGCUGGGUGCUUGCCGAGCACUGUGUAUCUGAGCUUGCCACCUACUCAGGGCAUGGCAGAACUGCUGCAUAAUACCACAGGGAAUCACUUGAGGAACAAGAUGGAAGAGGAGGGAAGGGUUUUGCAUGAGGAUGAUUAUGCGUGUCCCUGAGGUGAUUUUUGUGUGGAACAAGGCAAACCCACAGCCAGAGGUGCUGUGGGAGCCUGUGCCAGACUGCUGUGAAUUGUAGAUAACUUGGCUGCUGCUUGUGGACUUGAACAGCAAACUGGAGUUCCUGGGUGCCCCCAGCUUCAGCACUACAGGAGUAGCCUGAACUCUGAAUGUCUUUAGAAGUUACAGGUGCUGCACAUUCCCAUAGUUAGGACAGAGUGAGGAGACCAGUAAUUGCUGUCACUGGAAAGUUCCAAAUUCCAUUCAAGUUUUUAUUCAUUUGAUCUCAGAGAGAAUAGUUUAAUGUACAGACAGAAGUUACAUGUCUUCUACAUGUAACAGCAUCUUUCUCAAGCCUGCAUAGUUCUUUAAACCCAGGAUAACUGACCUGAGCAGCUCCCACCCCUGUCCAUGUGCUUGCUUUGUGCUGGAUGCAGCAGUCCUGUGGCUACCUCAAGACUUGCAGUAUUGGCCAUAUAGGAGUUUGUGUGGAACUGCUUUGCAGGGCAACAUAAUUGGAUUUACUGAGCUAUAUUUUGUCAUCUUGCCCUGGUUUAGCCUUCCCCCUUCUACUGUAAUCCAAAGUUACCCAGAUCUAAAAAAAAAAGAAAAAAAGAAAAAAAAAAGUCCCUUUGAAGGAAUCAGAACCAGCAGAGUGCUGAGCCUGCCUUUACUGCAGGCAGGAAAUCCCACCUUUGGUGUGUACUCAGCACCUAAGCAAAGGAGAAGAGGGAAGUGUUAUUUGUGCAGGGUAUGUGACCCUUUUUUGGGAUCUGAAGACCGUUUUAGGAUUUUGCCUCAUGUUCAUGCCUGGAGCAAGAAAAUGGGCCUUUUGUUGUAACUUUAACAAGAGUGCACACAGGCUUUUCACAGCAUUGCAAAUAAAUGUGCUGGAAUGUAUAGCCCAAAGUGAAGAUGAAUUCAGGGCCCUGAAAGCAGUAGCAGCUCCAGUUUCUUUCAGUUGAUUCUACCAAGGAUUGGGGUCACAAAAGAGAAGGAUAAUUUACAGCUUAGCAAAUGGGAAAAACUCUUUCUAGCUGACUUGCUGGAACUCAACCCUGCAGCAAACCACCAAAGUCAGCAUUAUGUCGUGAGCCAUUAAGUGAGGUGACACUUCUUGCAGAAGAGGGCUGCUGUUUUGGGCAGGUUUAUAGAUGCAGCAGUUCUUUGCACAUGGAAGUUACAGGCUGGCUUGUUAGUUGCUUAACAUAGACUUGGACAUCAGUCAAUCAGUAUUUUUUUCCUGCUUCCUCUGUAAUCAAAUACUCUUUUCCAAGGUGAUGCUGAUUGCAGCAAGGUAAACUGGACAUCUUGCGUGUUAAGCAAAUGGUUCCUUCUGCAUGGAUCCCUUCGGUGCUGUGCCAGCAGGGGAUGGGGCAGUCAAGCAGUGUUGGGGAGGGCCUGAAAUGAAGGAGCUUUCUGCUGCAGAUUUCACUGCGUGCAUUCAGCUGCAGAUACAUAGUGAAUCUGAGAGGCACUGCAGGGUGCCGAGGAAAAGAUGGACUUGGUAUUUCUUGGUUUGCAGGGGGUUAGGGGAGGACGGGGGCCACGGCUUCCCUGUUCUUCCAAGCAAGAUACUCUGUAACUGCCUGGCAAAGUUAGCUUAGCUACAGCAGGAUAGGAAUAAAACUGAGUAGGAGAUGCCAGGCAUUUUCUCAACGAGGAGAGAAGGAUGUGCCAACCUCCUUUGCCAGCCUAGACCCAGUGCUGUGUGGCUUCUCCCAUGUCCCCCUCCCAUACUGCCCCUCUCCCAUUCCUGCCAGGCCACAGAAUGCCCGCCAGCUCCUGGAGCGGGCCCAGCUCGCUUUGAGCUGUCACUGACCAGCAGUUGCCAGGCUGCUGCCGAAGAGCUGACAGCCUUCUCAGCACCUCAGAGAUGAUAAUCCCAAGGGAGCUUUUGGAAUGACCUCUUAGUGAGCCAGCUAACAUCAGGCACGAGCACAGACAGGCAUUAUGCUAAUACAGUAGAGUACAGCUGGGUUCUGUAACUCCAGGCUGGACAUAUGUGUAUAUUCCAGUAAAUCUUACCAUGAGUUGCAACCUCAAGCAAAAAACACCAGCCACACAAUUGUCAUGGUAUCCCCAACUCCUGCCCUCAGUGACUCCGGACAAGGAAAUUGCUUGGAAUUGCUUUGGACCUCAGAGGACAAACUGGGACCACAGGAAUUUAAGAAACACAAUGAAAUCAGAGGGGUGGAGAGAACUUUGAAAGAACCUUACUUGUUCUUUAUGUGUAUAAUUUACCUUUUAAGAAAAGAAACACCCAGUUUUUCUAAUUGGCUAAAUACUAGGAAUUGUCCAGAUUUCUUUCUGGAGUGAAACUUGCCUUCCUGGCUGAUCACAGCUAUUACAGCCUUCUCUGGGCUUUUCUGGUACUGCUUCCAAGGCAAAUCCCCAGAGGCACUUGUGUGAAAUCCAGUAAUGCUCUAUUCACUUUCACCUCUGUGCAGGAAUGCAUUCUGCUUGUUCCAGCAUAAAGUGCUUUAUGUUUGUGUCUCCAAGUCGUCUCUGCUAACGCUGCAGCCUUCGGCAGCUGCCUCUCCUUUCGGCUGAGCCCGUUACCUGACUCAGGCACAAUGGACUCUGUGGUUUGGCAUCCCAGGCUUCAGGACCCCCUCGCAGGCUGUUUGUAACCAACCCCCCAACCAGUCAUUAGGCCAUAAUUCCUGUUUACAGAGAUAAGUCUUUAUUGGAGCUAUUGGAAGCAAAUGGGACAUGGUUCCAGUUUUAUAUACAGAGACGUCUGUAGUGUUGGUUACAACCAGUGGCAAUGACCCGAGAUUACAGUGCAGACCGUGUUGUGACAGUCAGUAACAGUGGCUGGCGUACAAACCACAGCACAGAAGCCAAAUGAAGCCAAGUGUACGGGGUACAGCAGCACGGAGGGAGCAACUGAAGGUACAGAGAGCGUUCCCUUUACAUCUGUACGCUUUUUUUGGCUAGUGAGUACAUACAGCUCAAUUUAAAAUUCACUGUGCAGUUAUUUUUCUUCCCACUCAACUGCUACCAAAUUAAGAAAAUCUGAGUGUUCAAAUUACAUUUUUAGUGCUAUAAAUAGCCAUGGUUGUUGCCAGAUUACUUUAUUUGAAAUUGCUUUAUUUAUAGUUGGGAAUAGUUCAGUCAUCAUUGUUCUCUAGUGAUUACAAAUUGGGAGAAAACGGAAGUAUUUUGAAAGCAGUCUGUAAUUAGACCACAAGGAUCUCUUGUACUUCAUUUGGAAGUUUAAUUCUGGGUAACUUCUUUGAGAGAGAUUUAUUGGGAAGAAAGAUGGAAUCGUCCACCAUAUUACUCAUUUGUGGACUUCGUUCAUAGUAUUUAAGGUUUCGAUAGUUUAUAGGUCAUACUUUUUAUUCAAUGCCAUAUCCAAUCUUAGUUCAAAAAUAAACACUCCAUCCUCUGUGGAUAAAUAAAUCCAUCUCUUGGCUGCAGGUCAGACCUCUAUUGGUGAAAGAGAUUUAGAAAAAUAGACCUUUUCUUUAACGUUUAAUACUCUGACUCACAAAGGAAAAGUGAAAUUCAUUCAAGUCUAGAAACAAAUACAGUACAAGUGAUUUAUAGAAUUGCAUUACUUCCCUCUACAAACUUGCUGAGCAUGAAACACUGCCCCAAAGCACUGCCUCUGUUUUUGCCUUGUCUUGGAGAAGUAAUUAUCAUCAGAAAAGUCACAUCAGACUGCACUGCCAGAUUUCCUGUCAGAAGGGCUCUGCCUCCUGAGGAGUCUUUGCUUAGGAAUUCUUUAGAUGCAUGGAUGGUGGUGGUUUAGGGUUGCACAAAGGAUAUUUUAGCCCAAAUUAGCAGCAGUUUUAAUUGGUUUGGUUGAUGGUGAUUUUUGGUGGGUGGAAAUUCAGCCAUUAAACAAAAGCCUGUGAGUUGGCCUUGGAAAGCACCAGCCUUUCCUCAAAAUCUCCACUUGUGACACUGCUUCCCACUGAUGUCCUUCUCAGCAAGGGGCUGAUACAUUUGGCAGUAGAGGUUUCAUGCUCAACUUUGUCACUAAGAACUGGACAGGACUUUAAAAGCAUACAGCCCACUGGGACUUGCUCUGCUGCUGUACUUCAGUGCUGUGGAGAGCCCCCACCCCCAGCAGUGUUGUCUCUGAGAAGUGCAAGUGUCCCAGCCUGGCUCUGGGGCAGCUGGAGCACGGUGACAUUCCGGAGUGGAAGCAGUAGUUAAGCACCAGUUACUGGCCCCUGCAGAGGCUCAAGAGAACAGAAUUGCUUCGUAGAGAGCUGGUCAGCCUAAAAAGCUUAGUCAGUUUGAUCAAUAAAUAUUGACUUAGGGUUAGGAUGAGAAAUAAGACACUGCACCUUGGAACUGGAAGACAGAGUCAACUUCCUCCUUUUUCUGUCCAAAAGGAGACUGGCUCCAAAACGUUUGUCCUUAAGGACCUCUGUGAUGCCUGACAGAUAACUCAUUAUGUGUGUAUGAAUGUACCUGUCCCCUUUUGCAGGGACGGGUAAAUGUGUGACUGGACAAAGCUUGGAGGCUUUUUUCUGUGAUUUUUUAUUUUUUCAACCAUCUGCUCUGUGUCAUGUUGUCCCUGAAGGCAUGGUUACCCACUCCUAAAUUAUGCAGCAUUGCCCAGAGAAUGGCUCUGUAGUUGAAUAUGCUCUCUGCAGUACAGCCUCCUUUUUCUUCCAGAGUAUGUGGAUUUCCACACAAUAGAUGUUACCAGAAAACUACACUCAUCUUUAUCAUGUUAUUUUGAGCAGGGAAACAGUGAUGUGAGUUUAAAAACACAGGAAAGAAUCUGUACUGCAAAUCAGAAUUUUUGUAAUUAAAUUCAUAGUAUCACUAACUUUUCAAAAGCUGUACUGCUCUGAGUGCUGUUCUCUAGCCCACCGUUAUUCUCCUUUGAGCAGAAUGACUUUCCAUCUGCUUAGAAACAGUUCUUUGUGAAAAGAAUGACAGAAGAAUACUGUCUCUCUUGCCCUGGCUUUGUUACUUUUCAGGACACCCUUACAAGACUCACAUUCUGUUGGGAGUGCAGCAAUACACACAUUUCAGUAUGCAUAGAUCAUUAAGUUGUAGCAGUGCCAGUAAUAAAGCAAAACUUGCCAAGAUGUCCUGUUCCUCUUAAUUAAGCUUGAUUUAUGUGUGCCUUUUGACUUAAGAUGCAGUUAGUGUCCACUGCUGAGAUGAUGCAGUACCCUGAGUAACUUUGUAUUGAUUAUGCUUCUGCAAGCUUGUGCUUUUGCAAGAACACAGAAAUGAAACUCCAGGAAAAUAAAGAAGUACAUCAGGUUGUUUCCAUGGAACACUGUUAAUCUAUUAAUAGCAGCUUCAAAGUAUGAAGUUAAAACUUACCUUCUGCUCUACUCCCAUCGAAACAGAUGAGUGCUAUGAUUAACUCCCCUUUAGCUUAAAAAAUAGAAGUGGAUAGAAUAUCAAAAUACACUUUGCUGGUAAGAUGAACCUACUUUGUCAUAAGGAGUUACACCAAUAUUGGUGACCUAAACUGGUCACUGUGGGAGCAGUAUCUGCUUUUCCUUGUUGCCAUGCUCCUCUGUAAAGGCAGCUUGUCUAGAAUACUGUGGGCAUUGCAGAAAUAACUAACUACUAUUCCUUCUGAGGAAAUUACUACUAUUCCUUUUCAUCCCAAAAUUCAGUUGUGUGCUCUGUACACUGCCUGGAACUAUCUCCCUGUUCUGGGUAGGACUGCAUCAGGAAACAAAUUUUGUCUACUGGAUAUCUUGUAUUCCUCCUCUGGAAAACCAGCAAAACUGGACUUGUUUACUGAGCAGAAAAAAUAAAUUAGUCUCCUUUAGCAGCGUCAUUAGCAGCCUUUAGCCUGCUGUAUGGAUAGAUUAAACCUCUUGCCUAAUUUCACUAGUUGUUGAAAAAGGAAUCCCAGCUCUCCCUGCUCAUAGUACACAAGGUUGCUGGCUUUCCCCAGCACACAUAAACCUCCUGGUUUUACCACAGUCUGUCUUAAUGGACUUGGAAAAGGCAGUGCAACUUUCCCUCCAACUUCUAUGAUACUCUAACCUCUAAAACUGGAGAAGGACAUUUUCUUCCAUUGUUACCUUUUCUCUCUCUUGCCAGAACCAGGUGCAUUCAGAAAUCCUGUGUUCAAGCUGAUGCUGCACUACACCUCACGAACUGCAAAGCAGCAUAAGGCAGCUGGAGCUUCUAGGUCCUGGUUAGAGCAUUUUGUGUAUGAGUGAAAAGUCUUCUUGGAUAAUUAAGACUGUGUCUAAAAUCACAGUAUGCUGAUCUAUAAGGAAACUCAGGUGAAGUCACAGGCAGUGCAGAACUGUGAGAGGCUCAGCCACUGUGCAGGGGUUUGCAAAGGCAUGGAUGAAGAUGAGAAUAAAGAUAAACGAGAGAAGAUUUAAAAGGAUUUGGGAUGGAAGAUCACUAGACUCUGGCUAAGAAUUAGUUCAAUUUCUCCUUAUAAAUAGUGAUGUCAUGUCCAUCAUGCCACUCACAAGAGCACCAAAAACACUUCCAGCUCUUCAUUUGCUGAAGAAACUUCCUCAGCCUUUGCAUUCUGCAGCAGACAUCACACCCUGUCCUCCCAGCAGCAUGGAGCAACCAACCUCUGAACAGCACAACAGGACCAGCACCUUGGGAGGCACCACACUGGCCAGGAGCCCAGGAAGAUCCUUGGACAGGAUCAUGGGUUCCUCACAGGCCAGCUUGGCAAACUGUCCCAGGAAACUGCUUGACAACAAUUACCUGUCCAUUCAUGAGAGUCAAAUUAGCAAUUCAGUAUCUGAAUAUGGUGUGAUUAAACUCAGGAACCUAAUUCACAGUGUGUCCUACUUUCAGGCAUCAAAUUUUUUGAGCACCGUGCUCUUUUGAAAGUCAAACUGACAAGGACUCAGGAACCUUGUGUCUUUUCCAAAAGAAGCCAAUGGAGCCCCUCUUUUGUCAGGUAGCAGGACACACACAGGCUGUUCUCAGGAAGAACAGAAGCCAGAGAAACAAGAACACUUCAGAAGGCUAUCGAGGGACUGAGCCAGUGUGCCAGACAAGGGGAGGCUCUGCAGGCAGCUCCUCUGCACACCACAUUCUAGCACAUCAGGGCUUUGAAGAAAAACCCAAAGGCUCUCUUUGCCACUUGCUUUUUCUAAAGCUCCAACUCACACAGGAGUGGGCUCUGGAGGAGAAGGGAGUUUCUUCUUCUCUCUCUUAAAAAAACAACAGAAUAACUAGUCAAAACCCAGCUUUCACAUUAGAUACUGAGUGACCAUCUGAAACACCUAAAAUCAGAUGUAAAGGAUGGACAGGGUCUGAGAGCAUCUCUCUUACAAACCAGGAAAACCACUGGGAACUCCCAGACGAUCAGGAGUGCAUGGCUUCCCCUGCCUGCACCCAAACCAGCCCCUCCAACAAGAUCCCUUUGGACUGCUCCACAUUGAGCUCCAGCCAUCCAAAAGCAGUUUAUAACUCCUGUGAGUUCUUUCAGGAUGGCUACUUUGAUCUUUUCAGGAGAUAUUUCAAACUCUGUUAGAAUAUUGUCAGCUACAUCGAUCACCUAGCCCAGCUGCAACAAGAGGAGCACAAAUAAUGGAAGCAGAGCAAUAGAAGGAGAGGGGAAGUACAGUAAAUCCUCAACUCUUCAGCUCUGCCAAAAUUCAGUCUUCUAUAGACUGUGCAUGAGACUUGCUACUGUGCUGUGUGAUGAGGGCAAAGAGAACUCAUUGAGACAAGGUGCACCUGCUAAAACUGGCACCAAAACCAGGCAGCUACUGCAAAUCAGUGGUGCCCAGCACCAGCAGAAAGCAAGUCUUUGUUCUUCUGGCACAAGAGGACUCCUUCACUGCGAGUACCACAUACAGAUCAAACAUUUAUAAGCAAGAGAAAAGCUAGCCAAGGGAUUUGUAUUAAAAUAAAGAUUGCAGAUCGCAGUGUGAAAGAAACAGGGAACGUACCAGUGAGCCCCAUGCCCAGCCAAGCUCUCCCUGAGCAGUCCUUCCUCUGAAGGAGAGCUGCAAGGAGACAGCCUGAGCCAACAGUUUCUACAGCAACUGCAGAAGCACCAGUUCAAUGAUAUUCAAACCCUGCAGUAACUGCAGAGGCAUCCGUAAAUGGAUACUCCAGAAGAAAUAUUUGACAGUUUCCCCUGGGCUGCUCUGCCUCCCUGGGCAAUCCAUUGAUCCCCAUCAGCUCAGUUCAGCUGUGCAGUUGCCCAUUUCUCUGCAAAUGCUUCUGAAUCCUCUUUGCCCUUAAGAGUCUUUCAGCACACUUGCUCCUCUUCUAAACUUCAUGGAACAGCCACCUGAGAAAGUUUUGUAGGCACAGUGCUGGAAGGAUGAGUGUCCUCACCCUGCAAGGGAGACCAGUGCAUCCAUGUGUGCUGCUGCUGCAACUCCUCACGGAGGGUGGAAUGCUGUUAUGACAGUGGCACUGGGCUGCUGCACCACUAAAAGCACACUUGGAAACAUCUCAAGGGAACCAAAACAGAGGCCAGCUACCACCCAACUGCACAGAAAGAGCAGAUCCAUUUGUAACGUGGCUCUUUUAACACAUGUAGAAGCCAUAUUCAGGAACACAAAAUAUUUCACCUUUACACUUGUGCUCAGUGAAAAACUUGCACAUAAGGAGGAAAAACUACACAAGUGCCAAGAACUGCAGAAGUACAACUGGAAAAAAACACUGUCUUUGGCCUUGUAGCUUGUAUCAGUUAUUGCUUUUAACAAAAGAUACCAGCAAUGCCUUUCAGCAUAUUCAGCAGCAAAGCAAUCUCACUUGCCAAAACUGCUACAGCAAACCCAGGACACCAGAGCAGCCAAGUGCUCCUCAUGUGGCCAUUCAGGAAAGUCCCCGCUCUCCCAGCCCAGUACAAAGUCAGGCACAGACCCCAAAACACUGGAGCUGGCAUGGUGAGAGACACCAGGAACCCAAAGUGAGCUGGAGGUGAGCCCAGAGAGGUGCAGACUGACCCUGUGCAUCCUCAUCUCCCUCAGCAGCCAGAUCAUCCCAGCACCUCCCUGCCUCCUGCCCGAGUCCCCUCACCCAGCCAGGCUGGAAAUGCACAAACUGCCACCGUUCUGCUCUUCCAUAGUGAUACUGUGACACACGGGUCACUCCUGGUGUCUGUUCCUCACCCAGACCAGGCUGGAAAUGCACAAACUGCCACCGUUCUGCUCUUUCCAUGUUGAUACUUUGGCACACGGGUCACUCCUGGUGUAUGUUCCUCACCAGCCCAGGACAGAGUUGCAUGUUUUAACAGACACUUCACCCAGCAUGUCCACAGUGGCUUUUCACACACUCAGAAGCUUGUUAGCCAGCCAGAGCCUUUCCCACUGCCCCUUUCCAGCCAUGGAUAUGCUCUUCAAAGAGCUCUAUUUACAUGCCAAGCUACAAAGCAACGUGGAAAAACUGCAGCUUUUAUGAUUCUACAGUGAGGUUUUUCACAACAUGAAGCAGCUUCUUAGACUACUUUUUCUUUUUUACUUUUUUUUUAUUUCCAAACAAGAUUUCACAGUUCAAAAAAAAAUCUCAGUCCACCCACAGGCUUUUGAGGAACAUUAACAGAGGGGCUUCAAAAGAAGAGAGCUCUGCGACCUUAAGCAUUGCAUUCUGAAUGAACAUCCAUGGAAAAACUGCGUGCAAGGCAGAGACAAGAGUCACCAAAAGCCACAUAUCCACCACAGUUUAAACUACUCUGCCAUGUUUAGCUCUGGCAUGGCUUGCCUUAUGCCAUCUCCUGUUGUACCCUUCCAACUGCUCACUGUCUUCUUAUUUACUUCUGAGCCUUUGUUUUGAAAUCAGCUGUGUCUGAAAUUCCUUCCAGGACAAGCCACAAGGCUGGGUUUGGUCACUUCCUCAGCAGCCUUGACACCAGUUACCCCUGGGGCUCCCCCAACACAGCUAUCUCUGGGUGGAAUCUUGCUCCAGUUCCACCAGAAAUCAAGUCCUGGAUUUCCAUCUCAUAUUCAGAGCUAGAGCUGGCUGAUACUUUGUGCAGAGGUGAAAAAUACUGCCAAUAGUUGAGGAGAAAUGAGUCUGGAUGAACAGCCCAUGCAAAGAAAACCCUUUAUAAAACCAGGACUAACCAAACUCGCCAGACUUAAGAUUCUCUUUGAACUACACAUCCAAAGCAGCACCAGACUGGCACCACCAGUGAUGAGGUUCUGAGGAACAGGGCACUGAAAACAUUAAACCCUCACUGUUAGUUCUCCUACCCUCUCUUCUCCACAUCUCUCCCUGCACUCUACAACAUGAAGCAAAGGAAAAUGGUUGGAAAGCUCCAGACAGAAGAAAAUUAUACAUGCCAAAAACUUCCAGAGACAAGUCUAACUUCCUGAAAACGACCAGGAAUUUGGUAGCAGCCACAGCCAGCUGCAGUGUGCUGACACAGAUUUCUCCUUCCUCUCCACAUGGCAGGAAACAACCAGAGCCCAGCCUGCACACCUGCCAUGGAAGAGGUGGGCUCGCUCAAUUCUUGGAAAGCACUUUUGCUCUUCAGAGAGAGAACAACAACCCUGAGCAAGCACAGGAGAUCAGCAAUGCAGCCUCUCCAGAGACCUGCCAGGCCUUGCUUCCCAUUCCACAGGUUUUGUGGGAAGGCCUCCCCUCCAAGCAGCCAGCACUGCUCCAUACUCCUUCCUUCCUUCCUCUCUGCCACCACGGCUGCUUCCUUUGCCUCUCAAAAAUGGUGACCAUGUCUUUAAAAAUCAAAGAAGACCAGACCAAGUUAGCAAACAGUCCUUUCUUCUCCAUUCUUUCUGAAGAUGUUAAAGUA